This 253-nucleotide ribosomal RNA is filed under the name uncultured bacterium. RNAcentral's name for it is "partial 16S ribosomal RNA". It matches the Rfam family "Bacterial small subunit ribosomal RNA", at positions 524 to 776 of the family's 1533-position model. The record is from RNAcentral.
GACGAACCGUGCAAACGUUGUUCGGAAUCACUGGGCUUAAAGGGCGCGUAGGCGGGUGAGCAAGUCCGGGGUGAAAUCUUUCGGCUUAACCGGAAAAGUGCCUUGGAUACUGCUCGUCUGGAGGAAGGUAGGGGCAGGUGGAACUUCUGGUGGAGCGGUGAAAUGCGUUGAUAUCAGAAGGAACGCCGGUGGCGAAAGCGACCUGCUGGACCUUUUCUGACGCUGAGGCGCGAAAGCUAGGGGAGCGAACAGG